GAGGUUCCGGUUCACGUCCGAUUGCGAGCUUCUCAGGGCGACCCGGCGACC
RNAcentral lists this non-coding RNA (51 nucleotides) under unclassified sequences. RNAcentral's name for it is "L31-Actinobacteria ribosomal protein leader". It matches the Rfam family "L31-Actinobacteria ribosomal protein leader". The record is from RNAcentral.